RNAcentral lists this ribosomal RNA (253 nucleotides) under uncultured bacterium. RNAcentral describes it as "partial 16S ribosomal RNA". It matches the Rfam family "Bacterial small subunit ribosomal RNA", at positions 524 to 776 of the family's 1533-position model. The record is from RNAcentral.
UACGUAGGUGGCUAGCGUUGUCCGGAUUUACUGGGCGUAAAGAGCGCGCAGGCGGUCGUUCAAGUCGAGUGUGAAAGCCCCCGGCUCAACUGGGGAGGGUCACUCGAUACUGAUCGACUCGAAGGCAGGAGAGGGAAGCGGAAUUCCCGGUGUAGUGGUGAAAUGCGUAGAUAUCGGGAGGAACACCAGUAGCGAAGGCGGCUUUCUGGCCUGUUCUUGACGCUGAGGCGCGAAAGCUAGGGUAGCAAACGGG